CCUACGGGAGGCAGCAGUGGGGAAUAUUGCACAAUGGGCGAAAGCCUGAUGCAGCAACGCCGCGUGAGCGAUGAAGGCCUUCGGGUCGUAAAGCUCUGUCCUCAAGGAAGAUAAUGACGGUACUUGAGGAGGAAGACCCGGCUAACUACGUGACAGCAGCCGCGGUAAUACGUAGGGGGCUAGCGUUAUCUGGAAUUACUGGGCGUAAGGGGUGCGUAGGUGGUUUCUUAAGUCAGAGGUGAAAGGCUACGGCUCAACCGUAGUAAGCCUUUGAAACUGGGGAACUUGAGUGCAGGAGAGGAGAGUGGAAUUCCUAGUGUAGCGGUGAAAUGCGUAGAUAUUAGGAGGAACACCAGUGGCGAAGGCGGCUCUCUGGACUGUAACUGACACUGAGGCACGAAAGCGUGGGGAGCAAACAGGAUUAGAUACCCCAGUAGUC
RNAcentral lists this ribosomal RNA (439 nucleotides) under uncultured bacterium. RNAcentral's name for it is "partial 16S ribosomal RNA". It matches the Rfam family "Bacterial small subunit ribosomal RNA", at positions 338 to 795 of the family's 1533-position model. The record is from RNAcentral.